GCUAAUAUGCUUGAUUUUCAAUAGAAAAUCGAGGAGUCUAUAAGAGAAUUAACCACAUCAAUUGAGAAAAUGAACUCACAAGGGAAGCUACCGUCACAAGGGAAGUUGCCAUCAUAAACGAAACCUAAUCCAAGACAACACGCAAAUGCAGUGACGUUGCAAAGUGGAAAAGUACUGGAACCAAUUCCUGGCAAAAAUCUUGGCCAAGAUUCCUCUUAAGAAUAGCACGAGAACGAUGAAC
RNAcentral lists this long non-coding RNA (241 nucleotides) under Gossypium barbadense (sea-island cotton). RNAcentral describes it as "long non-coding RNA (GBAR_LNC008224)". Lineage: Eukaryota; Viridiplantae; Streptophyta; Magnoliopsida; Malvales; Malvaceae. The record is from RNAcentral.